CGCAGAUGAUGUGGCGGAAUAUUUGCUAUCUGAGCGCAGUGACGACGUCGACACCACCAAGAUCGCUGAUGUG
Small nucleolar RNA from Lepus europaeus (European hare), 73 nucleotides. RefSeq annotates it as small nucleolar RNA SNORD24. The transcript has a single exon. The record is from RefSeq and is a predicted model, not a curated record. Lineage: Eukaryota; Metazoa; Chordata; Mammalia; Lagomorpha; Leporidae.